Molecule: ribosomal RNA, 2145 nt
Filed under: Aestuariibacter sp.
Lineage: Bacteria; Pseudomonadati; Pseudomonadota; Gammaproteobacteria; Alteromonadales; Alteromonadaceae
Description: partial 23S ribosomal RNA
Rfam family: Bacterial large subunit ribosomal RNA
Source: RNAcentral
AUUUUGUGGCCAAGCUAUUAAGAGCAAACGGUGGAUGCCUUGGCGUCAAGAGGCGAUGAAAGACGUGGAAAGCUGCGAUAAGCUUCGGUUAGCUGCUAAACAAGCUUUGAUCCGGAGAUUUCUGAAUGGGGAAACCCGUUUGAGGUAGUGCUCAAACAUCUUCAGCUGAAUACAUAGGCUGUUGAGGCAAACGAGGUGAACUGAAACAUCUUAGUAACCUCAGGAAGAGAAAACAACAGUGAUUUCCUAAGUAGCGGCGAGCGAACGGGAAUUAGCCCAAACCGAAUAUAUGUUAAAGCCCGGAAGCGUUGUAUAUUUGGGGUCGUGGGAUUUAAUUGGACAAAGUUCCGGCUUUGUCGGAAAGUUACAAAACUGAUGUAUAGUCGAAUGUUCUGGAAAGAACAACCAUAGACGGUGAUAGUCCGGUAGACGAAAUGCAUCAGACUUUUCGGAUUAGACACCCAAGUACCGCGGGACACGUGGAACCCUGUGGGAAUUUAUGAGGACCAUCUCAUAAGGCUAAAUACUACUUGACGACCGAUAGUGAACCAGUACCGUGAGGGAAAGGUGAAAAGUACCCCGGUGAGGGGAGUGAAAUAGUACCUGAAACCGUUUGCUUACAAGCAGUGGGAGCACGAUGAUUAAAGUCUUGUACUUUUUUCCGUGUGACCGCGUGCCUUUUGCAUAAUGAGUCAGCGAGUUACUUUACGUAGCAAGGUUAAGCCGUCAGGUGUAGCCGUAGCGAAAGCGAGUCUUAACAGGGCGACCAGUUGCGUGGAGUAGACCCGAAACCAAGUGAUCUAUCCAUGGCCAGGGUGAAGCGCCAGUAAAAUGGCGUGAAGGCCCGAACCGUUGUAGGUUGAAAACUACUCGGAUGAGCUGUGGAUAGGGGUGAAAGGCCAAACAAACUUGGAAAUAGCUGGUUCUCCCCGAAAUAUAUUUAGGUAUAGCCUUGCGUAAUUAAGUGACGGGGGUAGAGCACUGGAUGGGCUAGGGGUCCUACCAGAUUACCAAACCUAACCAAACUCCGAAUACCGUUAACUUUUAUCGCAGGAGUCAGACUGCGGGAGCUAAGUUCCGUGGUCGAGAGGGAAACAGCCCAGAUCGCCGGCUAAGGUCCCUAAAUGUGUGCUAAGUGGGAAAGGAUGUGGAAAUGCACAGACAACCAGGAGGUUGGCUUAGAAGCAGCCAUCCUUUAAAGAAAGCGUAACAGCUCACUGGUCGAGUGAGUCUGCGCCGAAGAUGUAACGGGGCUAAAGCACACUACCGAAGCCGCGGGAUGUAUAUUUAUAUACAUCGGUAGGGGAGCAUUCUGUACGGGCAGAAGGUUGACCGUAAGGACGGCUGGACUGUACAGAAGAGACCAUGCUGACAUGAGUAACGAUAAAGCGGGUGAAAAACCCGCUCGCCGAAAACCUAAGGAUUCCUGAGUAAAGCUAAUCUGCUCAGGGUUAGUCGAUCCCUAAGCCGAGGCCGAAAGGCGUAGGUAAUGGAAAACAGGUUAAUAUUCCUGUACCACCAGUUUAUCGUUUGAGUGAUGGGGGGACGCAGAAGGGUAGAUCAGCCACCGGUUGGAUGUGGUGGUUUAAGCUUGUAGGCUGAAAGGACAGGCAAAUCCGUCCUUUUAUUCAAUGCCGAGAGGUGAUGACGAGAGACUUAGUCUCACAAAGUGAUUAAUCCCAUACUGCCAAGAAAAGCCUCUAGCGAGAUAAACAGGUGAUCGUACCGCAAACCGACACAGGUAGGUAGGGAGAAAAUCCUAAGGCGCUUGAGAGAACCCUGGUUAAGGAACUCGGCAAAAUAACACCGUAACUUCGGGAGAAGGUGUGCCCUCAUUAGGUGAAGCGUUUUACAUGCCAAGCUGAGGGGGGCCGCAGAGAAAUGGCGGUAGCGACUGUUUACUAAAAACAUAGGACUCUGCUAAGUCGCAAGACGAUGUAUAGGGUCUGACGCCUGCCCGGUGCCGGAAGGUUAAGGGGCUUUGUUAGCAGACUUGUCUGCGAAGCUUUGAGCCGAAGCCCCGGUCAACGGCGGCCGUAACUAUAACGGUCCUAAGGUAGCGAAAUUCCUUGUCGGGUAAGUUCCGACCUGCACGAAUGGCGUAACGACUUCCGCACUGUCUCAACUAGGGACUCAGCGAAAUUG